GUAUUGUAUGAUGAGCAAGGCUAGCACUUCCCUUAACAAGGAUGGCAGUGGUUCCAGUGACCUAUAAAAAACAUAUAUGGUUAAGAAAUUACCAACUACUUUGUGGUAUCUAACCAUAAUUUUUA
Molecule: small nuclear RNA, 125 nt
Organism: Equus asinus (donkey)
Lineage: Eukaryota; Metazoa; Chordata; Mammalia; Perissodactyla; Equidae
Source: Ensembl